RNAcentral lists this ribosomal RNA (253 nucleotides) under uncultured bacterium. RNAcentral describes it as "partial 16S ribosomal RNA". It matches the Rfam family "Bacterial small subunit ribosomal RNA", at positions 524 to 776 of the family's 1533-position model. The record is from RNAcentral.
GACAGAGGGUGCGAACGUUGUUCGGAAUUACUGGGCGUAAAGGGCUCGUAGGCGGCCAACUAAGUCGGAUGUGAAAUCCCCAGGCUUAACCUGGGAACUGCAUCCGAUACUGGAUGGCUUGAAUCCGGGAGAGGGAUGCGGAAUUCCAGGUGUAGCGGUGAAAUGCGUAGAUAUCUGGAGGAACACCGGUGGCGAAGGCGGCAUCCUGGACCGGCAUUGACGCUGAGGAGCGAAGGCCAGGGGAGCAAACGGG